This 199-nucleotide non-coding RNA is filed under the name Acididesulfobacillus acetoxydans. Lineage: Bacteria; Bacillati; Bacillota; Clostridia; Eubacteriales; Peptococcaceae. The record is from RNAcentral.
GUACACGCGAUGAAGGGAAGUCCCGGGGCUGGGUAGAUCAGAGAGCUGACGGCAGGUGCGAGUCAGCCUAUAAGCCGCAGGGUUCCGUCCCGGAGCGGCCGAUGAUGAAUCGUGACGGGUUCCGCCCGAUAGCGCGGACAUGAGUUGGCCGGUUCGGCAACAUGGGUGGCAACGCGGGAAAUAACCUCUCGUCCCUGAU